GCGGUUCGUCAAGGGACCCGAGAGCCUUCGUUCGGGAACGAGGAAGUGAGCUGUGAUCCCAGUCCGUUCGGGCGGUGUCCGGUGCCAGGGCCGCGGGCAGCCGUUGGAGGAGGAGAAAUGGUCUGAGUGAUUGUCGGCGCCUGCCAAUAUGUGGCAGCGAGGAUUCGAAGUCUCUGCUGCGGGGGAGAAGAGGAGCCUCCUCAGAUGAAUGCCUCCUGCCCGGUGUCAGGAAAGGUCCAGCAGCCAUGCUCUCUGCAAUGGGGAGCAAAUGCAUGCCCGGCCAGGCCCAUAAGCCCCAGCCUGCAGCAGCCCCCGAGAGCCUGCACUCCGAACCGCAUGGGAACCUGACAGUAGCAGAAGGUGCUGCUGCCAGAGAUUCUCCCCGGGAGACCAAGGAUUGUGUCAAGCCCAGGGUAAUGAAGACCGAUUCAUAAACUCCUUUGCGGGAGAUGAAUAGGGUCUGAGUCCUUCCUGGGUCACAGCAGGAGACAUGAAACUUCGGAAAAGCCUCCCCGGGACACAUUAAAGCUUAACUCCAUGAGA
Molecule: long non-coding RNA, 543 nt
Organism: Tachyglossus aculeatus (Australian echidna)
Lineage: Eukaryota; Metazoa; Chordata; Mammalia; Monotremata; Tachyglossidae
Exons: 3
Source: RefSeq, a predicted model, not a curated record